CAGUCAUUUUUAAUCUCUGGUUUCUGUUGUCUCUGCCACCCCGCUAUCCUGUGAAUGUGUUUACUUUGCUAGGAUUCCUAAUAGCUGGUUCUGUUGCACAGUAGUUAUUUCAUAGUGGUGGUGCCUUAUCUACUUCUGAUUGGCUUCUUGUUGCUCUUUUAAAAGACGUGCUCGUUUUUUAUGACUAUUUUUCAUGCCCUUUGAUGAUGAGUGGAUUGAUGGCAGGAAGGUCAAGCUGUAUUACUUUCAUUCACUGCUGUUGUGAAGGCUCCUCGAAAGAGAAAGAUGGAGCCGAAAUCAAUAUUAAAUUUCAAUAAUGUGGACUUUUUUUAGCAUGUCUUUCUCCACAUGGAUAUUUAUGAGAUAAUCAUAAUUAUAAUAUAAAUUGUAUUAAUGUAUCAGUUAAUCUCUAGUUCAUCUUAGCUGGGACCGUGGAGCUUUUGUUGCAAAUGAUUCCGUUUCAAGAAUGCUGAGUUUCUCUGCUUUGGGGUCAAGGAUUGGAUGGAUCUCUUUCCUCCAGAACCUAAAAAUCUAAUUGAUGAGAAAAGACCCAACCACGUGUAGAGUUAAUUUCAGAAAGUAGUGGAAGGAGAGGCACUUUGGAGAGAGCUGGGUGCUCUGGUGCAAGGAAUGUCGCUUAGGGAUCCGGCUCUCUUGGCCACAGGGUCCUCAUAGGCAAACUGCAGCAGGGGAUACCCGCCUGCAGAUUGAUGUGAGGAGUAAAUGAGGUGGUUAAGGCUCCGUGGCUCAUACAUGGGGAUGCUCCGACGGUAGUUACGGCUGGUGGCAGCAGAUGAAAAGUAAGUUCUAGAAGGACAGCCUGCUGUGGCAGACAGGCUAAGAGUCAGGGAAUGAGGAGAUCUGGCACCCCCUGUGGGCUCUGCCCCUGGCUGUGUCACCUUGGUGGCCUACAGUUUCUGGCCCCAAGCAUACCCCCCAUCCCUUCUGGAAAAUGAAGGGCUCAGACAAGGUGUUCUUUGAAUAACCCACAGUUUAAACUUCUGAAGGUCAGCAGGAGAGAUACCGUCAAUUCAGGUCCAGUGAUCCACUGGAGCUUCAUGAAAAGGUGCCCGUAUUUAUUUCCACAGGAAGAAGGAAGGCACUUGGGGGUGGGUGUCUCGUCGUCCUGACCUCCAGGCCUAAGUCCCCCAGUAGUGUGGUUCCUUGGAGGGGCCUCCAAAGGCAGUGUCGCAACCACUGCAGCAUUUUAAGGGAGUUCAUUAUCAGUAUUUUCCCCCACUGGGUGUGUUCUGGCUGGAUGUAGAGACUGAUACCUGGAUUGGGCUUCAGAAGUGAUACUCAGGCUGUAAGUGGAAGCCUUUUUUCUUUUAUAAUGCACUUUCAAAGUAGUUUUCUGCCAUAAAUCCUCCAACUGCCAGCCCAGCAUUCACUGAGGGGGAGCCGGCCCCACAGCAAGCCCGUUGUCAGAUAGUCUGCUUCUGUCUCUGUAGGUGGAGAUGCUCACCUCCCAGGUGCCUGUGAGGCCUGAGGGAAUGCACACGGGACAGGGAGUGGGAGGGAUGCAGGCCCACUCUCCCCCACCUCGGGAGAGUUAUCCUCAGAAAUGAGCAUCCGAUGAAACGGACAAAUAACCCAUCUGCAGUCUGAACUUAAGGAAGUCCUAAGGCAGUGUGGAAUCUGAGCCGCAUCUGCGACUUACACCACAGCUCAUAGCAACGCUGGAUCCUUAACCCGCUGAGUGAGGCCAGGGAUCGAACCUGCAACCUCAUAGUUACUAGUCCGGUUCGUUAACCACUGUUGCUGCCAAAUUUUUAUAUUGUUUCCUUCGCCUGCAGCUAUCCAAAGUAUCUUCAGUCCUUCCUAGGCCUUUGAAAUGUAACUCUUCACCAAAAAUUUUUGGUUUGACCAUGGAUGGGAGGCAAAAGUUAUCCUCUCUUUUUGUCCUUACUCUGUCCGAACAAGUACAUUUUAAAUUGCUUUCUUAUCUACAGACUCAAAUGUCACUUGUCCUGCUACAUGUGUUUUGUGUCCUUAACUUCUUUGUUCACUUUGGUAAUUCCAGGGCAAGUUAUUAGAAUCUACUUGGUGACCAUUGGUGCUUUUUUAGAUAGUGAACAUUUGAAGAGCAGGAACUGGAUUUAUCAACUCCUCUCUUCCCAAUCCUUCCUGCUUUUUGUUGAAAGGACAGAACGGAAAUGAAAGAAGGGGGAAAUUCCAGUCUAAAAAGUUAUGCGCUGAUUCAUAAAGCUUAAAUUAUCCAGGACAUUGCAAGGAGAUGUUUGUAUGUGUUUCAAGGCUAACUUGUAAGAAUGAGAUGUCUCUUCUGAGAUGUUACUUUUAUGUAAUGUGAGUGAAAUUCAGGAAAACCAAAAGGGAGUGUAAAGAAAAUUGUUGGCCUUAUUUGGUUAUUUUAGCUAAUCUAAUGUUCAGGCACUGUGAAACAAUAUUUCUGUUUUAAAAUAAAGUUUCCUAUUGCAUUUGAAAGCAGGAAUAUUUAUGGGCAUUUUAAAUCUGUGUAUGCAAUUUCAUAAAUUAUUUACAUUGAUACUUUCAUAAAUACUUUUAUUGUAUAUCUCUGGGAUUUUGAGGCAUUUGCUCAGAAACAUUGAGGGUUGGCCCUGAAUUGAAAGCUUUACCAGUUAAGGACUCUUAACAGCAUUCCAUUUGGAAUAUGGAAGUAUUUGAUGAGGAAUACUACAUCUUUUUAAUGAAUAUAUUAUAUCGUGUUGUAAAUUAUUUCAAGGCAGGAACUGUAAGUUGUGUCGGUUUUCUGGUUUUUUGUUUUCUUUCCUUCCCACAUCUUCUUGUAUAACCUUUAAACUAUUCUUUAUGCCCUUGGCACAAAGAAAGUUUCCCAUGUUGUUCCUUUCAUUUUGUUCCUUCAAUUAUUUAUUGUUCUCACUUUCUUAUCACACAUUUGUGUCUUGGAAAACAUUUAUUUUCCCAUUUUCUUCUGUUAGUUAAUGCGUUGUUGAAAACAGAUAAAUAAGGAAGAUGUGAAAUGAGCACUUGCGUAUAUUUUAUCUGGAGUUUACAGGAGAGGGACCUAAGAAGACAUUUGGAAGUAACUGCACAAAGAUGAUAGUUAAAGCUGCAGGUACCAACGACAUCACCAGACAAUACUGGCUCCCAUGCAGAUGUCACCCCCAGUGAUUUCACUCUCCUGUCUUCGUUGGGUCACACAGGCAACUGUGAUCCAACCACAUCCACAUGCUGCUAUCCAGAGUAGUGUUUUUAUUCCAGGGCACCCAUGCCUACCACCUCAUCCCAAUGCAUUCAGUGCUCAAAUGCCUCCUAGUAUAGCACCCUUUCCAGCCCUUUCCAAAGCUAUGAAGACUGGUAAGAGAAGUAAGCCAUGGAUGCCCCCCUGGGAACACUGGCUUUUACAUGGAGCCCACCAUUGAUCCUGAGGAGUGAGCCAAAAAAAAAAAAGGAAGGCAGCAGAAAUUGAGGAAGAAUGUGUUUAUCAUGAAGGUCUAGAGAAAACAGAGUUUCCAGAGGGAGGAAGGAGUCAAGAGUGUUGAAUGUGUCAAUGAGCCAGAAUGACUGGGACGGUUCUUAUACCUGUAGCUUCCCUUGGAAACAGGGACAGUUUCUCCAAACAUCCCCAUCAGCAAGUGUAUGGUCGCUGUCAAGAGAGAAUGCGGGAGGGCUGGGGGUGGUUUAGAGGAGAGGAGGAAGCACUUCGUCUGAAAGAAUGAUGUUAGUGGGAAAGGGUGGUAGGUUAAGUGGUGAUAGACCUCAAAUGGUGGAAAGACUUUCAACUAGUAGGCUUUGAGCCCAUUGUCUCCUUUUCUGAUGCAGUUUCUAGGAGCUCACUGAACUUAACAGUGGGAUUGGUGUUCUAGCUAAGUGAGUCUACCAGGGACCCAAAUACCAAGUACUUAGAGCUAUAAAAUUAAACACAUAACAAAGACAUUUCUUAAAUAGUUUACUCUUUCAACAGAUGGAGCUAACAUUCUGUAAAUUAGUAUUGCUCUUCUAUUUAAUUCUUUUCACCAUAUUAAAUAAUGCUUAGGCAGGUUUGCUGAUAAUUAAGAGAAUAGCUAAUAAUUGUCAGCAUAUGUUUGCUAUUUCCAUCAACCCCAAGGAAUAGAUUUUAGGUGCUAUUGAUGUAUCAUAUUACACACAUGGAUGUUAUUAACCAACACUUGAAUAAAUGCAAAGCAUAUAUAUUUCUAUAGAUGCUAGUCCUUGUCCAAAGUUCAUAUUGCACAUGAAGGGGUUUGAUGCUGUAAAUAA
RNAcentral lists this long non-coding RNA (4203 nucleotides) under Sus scrofa (pig). Its description in RNAcentral is "lncRNA (ENSSSCG00000054135.1, ENSSSCG00090022443.1)". Lineage: Eukaryota; Metazoa; Chordata; Mammalia; Artiodactyla; Suidae. The record is from RNAcentral.